CACAUGGAUAUAUUUAUAGUCAUAAACUUUCAACAUUACACAUUAUAUUUAUGGACUUUGUACUGACUCUCAUUACAUUGUUUUACUAAGAUAAAUAUAAAAGCAUAAAAAGUAUUACCUUCAUGCAAGCCUUAUGCAAACUUGAAAAGUAAAAAAUGUUAUUGUAAAUAAAAAAAGUUCAGAUUUUGUAAUGCCAAAUAAAUCGCCAGUAUUUACAAUGUUGCACUAUUUAUAGGUCCCAAAUCAAAGCAAAUUUGUAACAUUGGCCAUCAUUUUUUAUUAAAGAUCAAAUUUCUUUGUUUUCACUAAAGUACACAAGAUGCUUUGGAACAUUCAACAAAUCAUGCUGGGAUCACAUGGGUCAUCAGGUUUUACACAAACUUGUAAAGUCCAUGGGAGCGCAAGUGCAUGCUUUUAUUAAAAUUGCACAUGAAAUGCUAUAAAAAACAGUCAAAUUAAUGCUUGUUUUAAAAAAAACAAUAAAAUUCUCAUUUUUUUAAAGGGGACGUAGCAUGAAAAUCUGACUUUUUUCAUGUUUAAGUGCUAUAAUUGAAUCCCUGGUGCUUCUAUCAACCUAGACAAUGUGAAAAAGAACAACAUAGUAACUUUGUUUUGGUUAACCAUUCUCUGGCUCUCCUUGUGAUGUCAGAAGGGGAAAAUACCACCCCUUAAUCUGCACUAUCCAAUCAUGACACUGCCAUUUACAUGAGAGAUCAGCUCAUUUGCAUUUAAAAGGACACUUUUGCUCACACCUACAAAGUGGCGAUUUUAACAUGCUAUAAUAAAUUAUCUUUAUGGUAUUUUGAGCAAAAACUUCACAUAUGUACUCUGGGGACACCAAAGAUUUAUUUUACAUCUUAAAAAAGUCUUGUGAAAUGUUUCCCUUAAAGCAGCUUUGGGUCAUAAAUCACAAACUCAUUCGUUGAGUUAAAAUAACCUAGAAAUGUUUAUAUUUGACCCAACAAUGUGUCAAAAUAACAGUAUUUGGGUAAAAACAGUUGGUGAUAGGUUAAAUUACAUAACAACGUGUUGGGUUUGUCCGGUUUUGACCCAAGGUUGAGUUGAAAAUAAACCAGCAUUCUUUAGAGUGUAGCCUACAUUCAAAAUUAAAUUUCAAAUAUGCAAACUGAGUGGACUGAGAUUUUGAACCCGACUGCAUUAGUUAAAACCAUUAAAUGUUGUGUCCUUUGAUGCCUUUGUUAAAGGCGGCAUAGGGUUUGAUUCAAUGCGCACAGUAUGUGCUAAUAUUAGUUUAAUAGAUAGCAGUCGAUGCCAUCUUUUCCCCUGCAGUGUGUGUGAUACUUUCAGCUUGUUGAUGUUUUUUUUUCACAUUUUAUGUGUUUGUUCACACAGCUGACAGGUGUGAGUCCAUCACUAAAACACUUUUCCAGUGUCACCAAACACCACAGGAGCAAUGAAGAACCAUUAUUACCACAGUAACUCACUACCGUUUUCAUUAGAACCCAAUGGAGAGAGUAGGUGGAGACUACUUAUCACUCCUAGAAAGAGUUUCUAAGGCAGCAACCCUACUUUAGUGGUUUUAGUCCUAAAUGCUGCUUCUCAUACCCUAAUCCUUUAAGAGAGGACUGUGUGUGUGUGCGUAUCCAUGUUAUAUUCCCCUUAGCCUUUUGUUGUCUUUGGAGAACCUUUCCUGGAACUAUUUUUUAACGCUGAAGCACCAUGUUAUGGAGGAACAAGUCUUUUGUGUUGUGUGUGUAUGGGUUUCUGCAUGUGCAUAUAUGCGUGCGUGUGUGUGGCCAGACAGGGCUAAAGGUUCUGAAGUGGGUUGCGGUUUUCAGCCCCCAAGUUCAAAGCUGAGGAGAGCUGAAAAGCGGGAAAAGAUGAUGAGACCUCUCUAAUGCGCCUUAUUUAAAAAAUGUUAGGAAUAAAGAAAUAAAAGCUGGCCAGAAACAAUGGCCUUCCUCCCUGAGAGGCAGAAGCAGCGGAGGUGAAGUGCCCUGAGAUUGCAGUGCAGAGGCUCAAACAGAGAGGCAUCUGGCAGCACAGGGGCUGCUUAUAAUCUGCCCUAAUGAUUAAUGUCCUCUAGUAAUUUUACUAAGGAUUUCUCCUCUCCUUUUCUAUCCUGAAUGCAUUGUGAGAGACCUCAGAGAAGAUAUGCGUGUGUGUGUGCGUGUUGCCGGCGGAGAAAGUGACAGAGAUGAGGUUAAGUGGGCUGUUUAGAUGUAACAGAUGCUGAGUGAGUGAGAGAGAGAAUGAAAGGACGUCUCAGGGCUGUGCGAGGGCAAAGCUGAAGUGAAAAUAAUAUAAUUGCACAGGAUUCUCCAUUUUCUACAGUUUCAUGUGUGUUUGAACCCGCAAGACUUGGAUGUCGACUAGCUCAUGCGGCGUGACAUUUGGACAGUAGAAUUACGUAAUCAAAAUAGCUCAAAUGUCAUCAAUGCAUGCAUUCGUUGCUAAAUAUAUCAUGUCUUAUUUCUCUCAUUUAACCAUCCCCCAUUUUUAGCCUCAUCUGAUGUUUAACUGUUCCUGGGUCAAGGGCAGGAAGUUUUUCCUGGGUAUUUAUGUGUGGAGAGGAUGUGGCAUGUAGCACAAGGGAGUCCGGCAGGGUGGCAGACCCCCAUGUGAGUAACAUGGCGGGGGGAAGAGGAAGUGAGCUGUGUGUCCAGCACUGUUUGUCUUCCCCUGCGGUCCUGCCCAGCUCUGUCACAAACCAUUGUGGGCUAGGCAGAUUGAUGGGGAGCAGUGGCAGGAAACUAAAGGCUGGGAAAGAUAAACCCUGGAGCAGGUCAAAAACCUUGCCUUAAACCUGACUCCAGAGUAUUGGUUUCACAUUGGAGCACUGAAGUAGAUUCAGCUAUUAUCGGUUCUUUUGAAGGGUGGUCCAGAAGGCACGGAAAGGGGGUGCUGUAGAGUCAACUCUCUUCUCUCUAUCUAUCUUACUGUCUUAAUUCAGUUUUACAUGAUUUUAUACAUCACAAUGCCACAUCUUUCUUUUCUCAUCUCUGUUUUUUUGUGUAUAAUCAAAUGUAUUUUUAUAUAAAUCAGGCAAAAUUGACUCAUUCUGACAGGCAGUAAUUUCUCUGCUUAAUUGUUGUAUACUUGUAAUGUAAAUUGGAUUGAUUUUUGCCGCAGUAAUUUGUAUUAUCCAAUUUUACUCUGUGGACCCUGUCCCGGGUCCAAAAUGAAUUAUUAUGACUUAAUAUAAAAUAUUCCUUUAAUUUUGAAUGGUCUGUCAUGGACCCAGUCCCAUAUGAGAUACUGUUUGAAAGCUUAGAAUUUCUACUUUCUGCAGAUAUGCAUCACUUUGAGAUAUAUUUUACUGUAAGAAAGUUAUUAACACUUAAUUUACACUACCCCCCUAUUUUUUAUAUCAUUUAAUAUUCACAUAUUUCAUAUUUUUCAUGUAUGACAAGCAUGGGCAAGUCUUAUAUCAAAUGAAAGCUCUCACUCUCAGGAAUAAGACUACAGCGUUAUUUUUGUUCUAUUAUCAUCACAUAUCCAACAAUCCUCUUUUGUAAACGUAUGUGAAACUUGAACGUGAACUGCCUCAGAUAGCACAGAUAGCCACAAAUGCUACACCAUCUUUUAUAUUAGGUCCUACUCUAAAAAAUUAGUCCAUUCACAGCAUUUUCUUUGGUUGUGUGCGUGAAUAAUUAUAUGUGCAAAACAAAAAAAGUUUUUUAUAUAAAAAAUGUAUUUUCACAUCCUUCAGUAAAAUAAGAAUAACUUUUGAAUUCGACAUGCUAAAGAGAUCAUUGGUUUUUUUUUUUUUGGGUGUUUACUGUCUGCUGCUUGUAACAACCAGAACUGUCUGCAGUCUGCUAGAGCACACAGAACCAGAGUUAUUCACUUUCAAAUACAGUGUUUAAAACAUAAAAAAAUAAAAUUUGGUAUUUCAUCAUAUGAAAAACAACAUAAAUAACAAUAUUUGUCACAAACAGCAGCUUUUUAUGUAACUUCAAAGGGUUUUCUGUAAAAUGAUAUAAGGUUAUUGCAUUUAUUCCCCUGUAUGUGGUUAUGGGGUCACUUCAAAUAUUUUUAGGCGGAAAUUGAAUACUAAAUGGGUAUUAUUCCUCCCUUCAGUUGGAGUAUAAUACCUUUUGCAUAGAUUAUGAUAGAG
Molecule: non-coding RNA, 4081 nt
Organism: Misgurnus anguillicaudatus (oriental weatherfish)
Lineage: Eukaryota; Metazoa; Chordata; Actinopteri; Cypriniformes; Cobitidae
Source: RefSeq, a predicted model, not a curated record